AUACGGAGGGUGCAAGCGUUAUUCGGAAUCACUGGGCGUAAAGGACGCGUAGGCGGGUUGGCAAGUCAGAUGUGAAAUCCUACAGCUUAACUGUAGAACUGCAUUCGAAACUGCUAACCUAGAGUAUGGGAGGGGGAGAUGGAAUUAGUGGUGUAGGGGUAAAAUCCGUAGAUAUCACUAGGAAUACCGAAAGCGAAGGCGAUCUCCUGGAACAUAACUGACGCUAAGGCGUGAAAGCGUGGGGAGCAAACAGGAUUAGAUACCCUAGUAGUCC
Molecule: ribosomal RNA, 274 nt
Filed under: uncultured bacterium
Lineage: Bacteria
Description: partial 16S ribosomal RNA
Rfam family: Bacterial small subunit ribosomal RNA
Source: RNAcentral